This is a long non-coding RNA of Gadus macrocephalus (Pacific cod), 999 nucleotides long. RefSeq lists it as uncharacterized. The record is from RefSeq and is a predicted model, not a curated record. NCBI's taxonomy places the organism in Eukaryota, Metazoa, Chordata, Actinopteri, Gadiformes, Gadidae. The transcript has 6 exons.
AGGCCCUGCCUGGUGGAGGAGCUGGUGGAGGCCCUGCCUGGUGAAGGACGUCUGUCGUGGGGUAGUUGGAGCUUGACUCGGAGACCAGGACUCUGUCUGAGGAGAGCUGAUGUAGGAGCUGAGACGCUGGAGGAGGACUAGGAAUCGACCAACAGGAUUCCUCAUAAAACGUGUUUCUGGAGCGGAUGCGAGCUGGUAGGGGAGCCGUGAAUCUGGAGGAUUACCAUCACACUACUAACAUGGAUUACGUUGGGGCCAGACUCGCGCUGUUUGUUCCAGACCAGGACUCUGGCUGAGGAGAGCUGAUGGAGGAGCCAAGACUCUGGAGGACGACAUCACUCUACCAACCAGGAUCCUCACCAGGAAUCUGGAGGACUGAUGGGGAAGCCGUACAUCUGGAAGGCAAAUCCUGAGGACAACCAGGACUCUACCAUCAAGGAUUCCUCACACACCUGAGCUGAACCUCACCUGAUCCUGUUUGGUCGGGGGUAGACACACCUGAGCUGAACCCGCCCUGAUCCUGACAUCCUGCUGGUCCCGUCUCCUCAGUUCAUCUGCGCCUUGUCCUCCAGAAGACCUGCUGAGUUCAGCAGUCUGAGGCUGAGGGAUCAAUGACCUCCAGUGGGAGUGAUCUUCUUGACCCCACAUUUAACCGUGUGCUUCCACACACCUUUCUCUCACGUCUGUCACUAACAUCACUACUUCACUACUCUCUACUGCUUCCUCUUCUUCUUCCUUCUCUGUGGUUCGAACCUUUACACUGAAGGCGCGUCUUCCUGCCCUCAGAGGGUUCAGCGUUAGGGUUGAGAGUCAGGGUUUAGAGUCAGGGACAGAGCUGGUCAGGGAGGACUUCUUUUACACAAAGAACUUGCUUUCGGAAUGGUGGUGACAUUUUGAAAAUAUUAAUUUGGGAAAAUGUUUUCCUCUGCUUUCCUUUACAAGAUUGUAUUAAACUUCUGUCAAGUGUUUGUUUAUAUUAAAAUCCCACAUUGACUUCUA